RNAcentral lists this ribosomal RNA (254 nucleotides) under uncultured bacterium. RNAcentral describes it as "partial 16S ribosomal RNA". It matches the Rfam family "Bacterial small subunit ribosomal RNA", at positions 524 to 776 of the family's 1533-position model. The record is from RNAcentral.
UACGUAGGGACCAAGCGUUGUUCGGAUUUACUGGGCGUAAAGGGCGCGUAGGCGGCGCAACAAGUCACUUGUGAAAUCUCCGGGCUUAACCCGGAACGGCCAAGUGAAACUGUUGUGCUAGAGUGCGGAAGGGGCAAUCGGAAUUCUCGGUGUAGCGGUGAAAUGCGUAGAUAUCGAGAGGAACACCUGAGGUGAAGACGGGUUGCUGGGCCGACACUGACGCUGAGUGCGCGAAAGCCAGGGGAGCAAACGGG